Molecule: ribosomal RNA, 465 nt
Filed under: uncultured Klebsiella sp.
Lineage: Bacteria; Pseudomonadati; Pseudomonadota; Gammaproteobacteria; Enterobacterales; Enterobacteriaceae
Description: bacterial SSU rRNA
Rfam family: Bacterial small subunit ribosomal RNA
Source: RNAcentral
CCUACGGGUGGCUGCAGUGGGGAAUAUUGCACAAUGGGCGCAAGCCUGAUGCAGCCAUGCCGCGUGUGUGAAGAAGGCCUUCGGGUUGUAAAGCACUUUCAGCGGGGAGGAAGGCGGUGAGGUUAAUAACCUCAUCGAUUGACGUUACCCGCAGAAGAAGCACCGGCUAACUCCGUGCCAGCAGCCGCGGUAAUACGGAGGGUGCAAGCGUUAAUCGGAAUUACUGGGCGUAAAGCGCACGCGGGCGGUCUGUCAAGCCGGAUGUGAAAUCCCCGGGCUCAACCUGGGAACUGCAUUCGAAACUGGCAGGCUAGAGUCUUGUAGGGGGGGGUAGAAUUCCAGGUGUAGCGGUGAAAUGCGUAGAGAUCUGGAGGAAUACCGGUGGCGAAGGCGGCCCCCUGGACAAAGACUGACGCUCAGGUGCGAAAGCGUGGGGAGCAAACAGGAUUAGAUACCCCGGUAGUC